CCUACGGGUGGCAGCAGUGGGGAAUAUUGGGCAAUGGGCGCAAGCCUGACCCAGCAACGCCGCGUGAAGGAAGAAGGCUUUCGGGUUGUAAACUUCUUUUGUCAGGGACGAAGCAAGUGACGGUACCUGACGAAUAAGCCACGGCUAACUACGUGCCAGCAGCCGCGGUAAUACGUAGGUGGCAAGCGUUAUCCGGAUUUACUGGGUGUAAAGGGCGUGUAGGCGGGACUGCAAGUCAGAUGUGAAAACCACGGGCUCAACCUGUGGCCUGCAUUUGAAACUGGGUAUCUUGAGGGCAGGAGUGGAAAGUGGAAUUCCUAGUGUAGCGGUGAAAUGCGUAGAUAUUAGGAGGAACACCAGUGGCGAAGGCGACUUUCUGGACUGUACCUGACGCUGAGGCGCGAAAGCGUGGGUAGCGAACGGGAUUAGAUACCCUUGUAGUC
This 443-nucleotide ribosomal RNA is filed under the name uncultured bacterium. RNAcentral describes it as "partial 16S ribosomal RNA". It matches the Rfam family "Bacterial small subunit ribosomal RNA", at positions 338 to 795 of the family's 1533-position model. The record is from RNAcentral.